This 517-nucleotide ribosomal RNA is filed under the name uncultured bacterium. RNAcentral's name for it is "bacterial SSU rRNA". It matches the Rfam family "Bacterial small subunit ribosomal RNA", at positions 32 to 524 of the family's 1533-position model. The record is from RNAcentral.
AAUCAACGCUGGCGGCGUGCCUCAGACAUGCAAGUCGAACGCGAAAGUCCCCUUCGGGGGACAAGUAGAGUGGCGCACGGGUGAGUAACACGUAGGUAAUCUACCUUCGGAUGGGGAAUAACAACCGGAAACGGUUGCUAAUACCGCAUAAUGCAGCGGCACCUAAUGGUGACAGUUGUUAAAGCGGGGGAUCGAAAGACCUCGCGUCUGAAGAGGAGCCUGCGGCGGAUUAGCUAGUGGUAAGGUAAUGGCUUACUAAGGCUACGAUCCGUAACCGGCCUGAGAGGGCGGUCGGUCACACUGACACUGACAUACGGGUCAGACUCCUACGGGAGGCAGCAGUCGGGAAUUUUGGGCAAUGGGCGAAAGCCUGACCCAGCAACGCCGCGUGAAGGAUGAAAAUCCCUCGGGAUGUAAACUUCGCAAGAACGGGAAGAAUAAGUAGGGGACAAUACCCCCUAUGAUGACGGUACCGUUUGUAAGCUCCGGCUAACUCCGUGCCAGCAGCCGCAGUAAU